ACAGCAGCAGCCACGGUAAUACAGAGGGUGCAAGCGUUAAUCGGAAUUACUGGGCGUAAAGCGCGCGUAGGUGGUUUGUUAAGUUGGAUGUGAAAUCCCCGGGCUCAACCUGGGAACUGCAUUCAAAACUGACUGACUAGAGUAUGGUAGAGGGUGGUGGAAUUUCCUGUGUAGCGGUGAAAUGCGUAGAUAUAGGAAGGAACACCAGUGGCGAAGGCGACCACCUGGACUAAUACUGACACUGAGGUGCGAAAGCGUGGGGAGCAAACAGGAUUAGAUACCCCUGUAGUCCCUGUCUCUUAUAC
Molecule: ribosomal RNA, 305 nt
Filed under: uncultured bacterium
Lineage: Bacteria
Description: partial 16S ribosomal RNA
Rfam family: Bacterial small subunit ribosomal RNA
Source: RNAcentral